Molecule: long non-coding RNA, 11488 nt
Filed under: Nicotiana tabacum (common tobacco)
Lineage: Eukaryota; Viridiplantae; Streptophyta; Magnoliopsida; Solanales; Solanaceae
Description: long non-coding RNA (NTAB_LNC002611)
Source: RNAcentral
CAUCUCCCAUAAUCCAACGGCAGGAAACUAACCCUCUUUCCCAUAAGACUGUCUCAAAUGACCCCCCCUCCCCCCACGCCUAAACACUCCUCUCAGACCAUCCCUCUUACAUCUCUCUACACCCCACCAUCCUCCACCUUAUUUUGCCGUCGGAAAUCGUCUCACGACGACAAAACACCUCCAUAUAUCCCCAAAUUAUCACCCUUCAAUCCCCAACACCCCCUAAAUCCAAAUCUACCUUCAAUUUUCCCAAAAUCCCCACCGAACUCAAUGAAUUAUAGAUAUGGAAAUCUCGGAAAAAUUAAAAUUUUUGCUCUUUCGUUUGCUUGAUCAUUUCGGCCAGUAUACGUUCAAGACUUCCAUCAAUAGAGAUUUGAUCCGUUUAUCGAUGGUCGAAUCUAGGUCAAAUUGCUGCUGACCGGCCAAUUUCUCCCGGAACCCCUUUCUGCCGACUCCUUUGAGCUCAAUAGGUAUACCCCUUUUUGUCUCUCUUCUCUUUUACUCUAUUAUUUCUUUUUCUUAACCUUGUGUUGCAUUGUCUUGUCCGAAUUUGUUUAGUCAGUUAAGGAUAGUCAUGCAGAAUUAGGAUUUAGAUGAACUAAUAUUUGCAUUCUAGAUUGAUAGUUAAUUACUUAUUUUAAUUAUUUUAAUUGGAAUUCAAAUCCGUUUGUUCAAAUGUCUUAGCUUAGUAUUGGGCCUGUCUUGCUUGACAGGCAAGCCCACUAGAUUAAAGUUCAAGAUUGGGGAGGAUUGAGAGUCUAGGUCUUGAUUUUGGGCAUGUUGUCCACAAGGCCCAGGCAUGUGAAUUUUGGCUAGGUGGUUAAAAACAUGGGUUUUAGGGGGCAUUUAAGGGAUUUAACUUGGGGAAUAAUCUUGUAACUAAUUUAUGUACUUCUAGAAAGGAAAAGAAGGAUCGAGUUGCAAUAAAACAAUGAAGAGGUCGAGGUGAGGAAGAAAAUACAGAAAAGAAAAAGGACUAAAAGAAAGGUAAAUAACAGAAAAACAACGGUAAGAAUCUGCUAUAAGAUAGUAUACUCUCCUCACACUUUUGGUCAUUCAUUCUCAUCUGCAGAUACAGACUCACUCAUCCUCACUCCUACGCAAAAGAGCUCACAGUCCCAAUUAGCUAAAUUAAUUUCUGAAUUCAAAAUUUGAGUUUCAGAUCUGGAAACCAAAAACUCCAAAAAAUACCAAAAACAAAAAACAAAACAAAAGAUUCAAAAAGAGAUUCAACAGCUGUCUUCGAUUUCUGCCUACAACUGCAUAAUUUUUGGCUUCUAAAGAUGGUUUGAUUUGAAGAAGUUGCUUGUGUUUACUGUUGCUGCCACUCUACCGUUAGCUGGGGUUUACCCAUAAGUGUUCUAGACCUUUAUUUGGUUUGAUUUGGCUGUUUAUUUGUAAUUAGGUAUGCUCUAAGUCUCUGUAUGAUCUGAUUUGUUUUUAUAAAUAAGCUAUGAUUGAUUAAUGUCAUAGGUUGGUUGAUUUGGGUGAUUUAGCAUGCUUGGUGCAUUAGUUGUGUUUGCAACAUGUUUACUCUCUUGAAAUCCAUGUUAUAUGUACUGAUUACAGUCAAAUGUGCUUAGAUCUAAUUUUUGAAUAUUAACAAAUGCUCUAUAGUUACUGGUAACUAGAAAUUAGGUUCCUAGAUGUAAGGUGACCUCCACAGGAGUGCAAUGGAGCUGGCCUUGGGCAUUAUUCUCGAAUUAUUACAUGUUUCUAUGUUUAAACCAUUAGCACAAAUAGUCAUUCGUGUAAUAGGGUGAAUCUACGUGUUUGUUUAAAUUUAGCAAUCGCAAGUGUAUUAUGAUUCAGUUUUAAAUAUGAAGGAUGGAAAGGUUUGAAGUGAGGAAAUUUCGGCUCUGUAAUUUUGAUUAGCUAAACUAAUGAGCUACUGUUUCUAAAACUCAAUUGUUGAAGAUGGCUUUUAUUGUGAAUUCAAAUUACGACCUCUGAUGUAAUGAACUGCUACUGUACUCUGAACUUCGAUGAUGAAAUGCUGAUAUUUAGGAAAAGUUUUUCUUAUACUUUCAUUUUCGUGAAUUUGUUGGAUUUGCUUUUGGGCCACUGUAUUUCUUAAAAUUAUUGGGCCUGAAUAUCUGGCCCAUGCGGAAGUUAUCAGGUCUAGGCUCAAUUUGAGACCCAUUUCUAAAAACUUGUAACUUCAUGUGUGUGAAGAUUUGCUCCCUGCCGAAAGGCUUUGGCGCAUUAGGCUUCACCCCAGGCCCAAGUGUGACCCCAUUUUGGUCCUGUUAGAGGUCUUAUGGUAAGCCUUCAAUCGCAUGCAUUUCAUAAUAUUGACAAGUAAUCAGUGUAGCACUGGGCCAAUCUAGCUAAAACGUUAAUUGAGCUUCUAGAAUACAAUCACCACUAUUUUAAGUAACAAAAUAUAUGGCUAUCCCAACAAACAAAUUCCAUAAUUUUGGACCUUCACAUGUAAUCUUAUACUAUUGAUACGUAAUUAAAUCUUAUGAAAAUGCGUAGUUGCUCUUAGGCAUGACUAAUAAUAAAUUAUCGUAACUAUGGGUACAGUUCCGGUGGCAUAGUCAUGAUAUGUAACCCCAAUUUUAAGUGCACGUUCAUGUGACUUGACCCCAACUUUAAAUAAUAAUAAAAUAAACAUAUUGUAAAUCAUGGGUAAGUUUCACGUGGUGUGAUUUGCAAUAUGUACAAAAAUAACAAGUGCGCGACAUCGUAACUUGUUUAAAGAAAUUUCAUAAUUGUUUAAAAUAAUUAAAAGCGAUAAAAGGUAAAAGCGUACGUAGGUUUAAAAUAUGCAAUACACAGAAAAUUAAGCCGAGUGUAGCUGUAAAGUGACCGUGCUAAAAUCACGGAAUCCGCGAGUGCCUCACACCUCCUCCCGGGUUAAUAGAAUUCCUUACCCAAUCUUCUAUGUUUCGCAGACUUAAACAGAUUCAAAACUUCCUUGAAUUGGAAUUUAAAAUAAAUCGAUAACUUGGGACACCUUAAUAAUUUAUUCAAUGUGGUCAAUUUUUUAAAAGUAUAAAUAAAUACUUCCUUUUCAAUAGUAUCACUUAAAGUGGAAAAAUUCCUUUCCCCGUAAAAAGGAGAUGUGACAGCUCUAACCCCAACUGGAUCCUAAUAUCCCAUCCUUCACUUAAACUAUAUUUGUUAGCUCCCAUAGGGCAUAACUGAGAUGGAUGUAGCCAAUUGUAUAUAACUCUGUUACUGUUGAAGGUAACUCAGAAUGCAUAUAUUUCUUUGCUUGAAUUGUAAAUACUGAUAUCUCCACUUACUGGGUGCCUCAUACCCUCCUUCACCUUGCUUCUAUUACCUAUUAAAACUUAUACUGUUACCUUCUGAUAGUCCCAUGGCCUGCUAUUCACGGGGUGUGUUUGAUAUUCCCAUCUUAGGGUUUUAAGUUGGAAAUAUGCACAUAUGGUAUGCACGAUCUGAUAGGGCCUCAAACAAGGCCAUAUCGUCAAGAACUCUCUCUUUAUUAGUGCCCUUACCAGUUGCUGUAUUAGCCCUCUUGCUAGCUGUAAUCUUCCUAAUUGCAAACAUCUCUGUAUCAUUAGCAAACAUAAGUCCUGACUCAAACUAUUAUGACUCAGCUCCGUAGCACGAUUUGGAUUUAAAAGAAGGGUAACAAACUCCUAAAAUGCCUUGUAGCUUCCUGUUUAUAUAAUGUGGUGCACAACACAUCUAUAAACAAGGCUCUACUAGAGAUGACUUGUAGACUCCUUAGGAUAGAACUGCUCUGAUACUAAGUUUGUCACACCCCAAACCUGGGGAGGCGUGGCCGGCACCCGGUGCCAUACUUUCCCCGAGCAUAUCACUCUAUAACUGUGAACUAUAGAGGGGUAACCCUCAACUUAGGCCAACGAGGCCUACCUGCAAGCUGACAAUGCCAAUCAAGGCCAACAAGGCCAUAUUCCGAAUCAUCUAAAAAUAACAUCUCUUCCAUCUGAGGGGUAAGAAUACCCAAAAGCUCAUAUACAUAACUGUGUAGGCCGACGAGGCCGCCAUGAACGUCUACAACCAACAAUACAAAACUGAACAUGUACAUAGGGCUGGCAAGGCCACAAUACUGAUAUAAAAAAUAUAUAGGACUCAUUUACAAGCCUCUAGAGAUAACUGAACUGUAUCUUGGUGGGGACAGUGCAUCGACCUACCCAUCAAACCUGUAUAUAUAGAAUGGAUUCUAAGGUCUAGACCUGGUAACUCCGGGGAAGUGGAGCUUACAAACCAAGCUGAUGUUUGGUUCUGUCUACUAGGAAGGUCUAUACGGCUGUCUAUCAUGACCUGCAGGCAUGAAAUACAACAUCCCCGGAUAAAAAGAGAUCAGUAUGAAAUAAUGCACCCAGUAUGUAAGGCAAUAGAAUAAAUAAAAGUUGAGACUAAACUGAUAAUAUAAUAAUUGAAAGUAACUGGGAGUCAAAUAUGAUAUGAAGAUAUGCUAACCUGCUGAUAUCGACUCAACUCUAUUAAUAUAGUAAAUAAAAUAGUUGUCCGGCCCUAUAAGGCUCGGUACGUGUAACUACUCUACCAUAGUAGGCUCGCUCAUAGGCGCUAGCCCAUACUAGGGUCGAUAUCUCGGUCAUUCUAGGCUCGCUCAUAGGUGCUCGGCCAUAGUAGCUCGAAUGGCAAGUUAUAUACCGAGCCUACUAUGGCCGAGUGCCUUUGAGCGAGCCCAGAAUGUAUAGACCCUCUUCUCUCUUGACUGGAAGAAGACAAUACUUAACUGAAUGUAAAAUCCCGAUAAGGGAGAAUACUGUAACUUAUGGGACUAGGAUAAUGUACAUAAAUUCAGAAAUAUGAACUUCUCUUUAUGUCUCUGUCACGACCCUAAUUUCCCAUCGUAAGAUGUCGUGAUGGUAUUUAGUCUCUAUGACUAGGUAAGCCUAACAGAUAAUAAUAACUUGGCAGAAAUAAUUAUCAAAUACUCAAACAAAACUGAAUAACUGAUAUAACCUUCCGAAAAAUAGAAUCUCAUCAAUACACUCCCUGUCUGGAAGAAAAUACAACAGUAAACAAGAAUGAAAGGGAAGGUGACUCUGAGGCAUGCAGACGUGGAGCAGGUAUACCUUGAAGUCUCCAAAGCAGCAACUCCAAUUAACUCUAGCGGUCGGCACGGGCACACGUACCUGGAUCUACACAAAAUUUGUGUAGAAGUGUAGCAUGAGUACACCAUAACGGUACCCAGUAAGUAUCAAGCCUAACCUUGAUAGAGUAGUGACAGGUCAAGACACCUACUAGGAAGUAAAUAAACAGUAUAAAAAAUUAAUUAGGAUAAAUAAUGGAAAAUGGAGAAAUAACUGAUACCGGACAUUAGACAUGGAAGUAACAUAAAAGAAGCAGCUAAAGAGAAUCACAAUGAUCAUAUACAGAGAACAACUGCUAAACAAGGAAGAAAAAAAAAGUAAUGUUCCUACCAAAACUACUUGCGAAAUGAGAUAAACAACAAGAAUCACAACGAGAUACCGCCUCGUGUACAAUAAGAAUCACUACCGAGGUACCGCCUCGUAUAAAUCAAGAAUCACAACUGAGGAACCACCUUAUAUUCACAUUUCUCAAUUUCAAUCACAAUCUUUCCUUAUUCCGCUGCGAGAGCCUUAUAUUUGAAAUGGGUUUUGAAAAAUAAUAUUUCCAACAUAGCUACACGCACUUUAGCCCACCUUAUGAUGCCGCGUGACUUCACGUAGUUCUCCUACAAGCAACACGCACAUAAGUACCACCUUAUACUGCCGCAUGCAUAUUAACCCCGAUCCUUAUACCGCUGUAUGCUUGUCAAUAUCACAUCACAAUAAUAACUCACACCACAAGUGCCCAUAUAUCACAACUUGCCAACAAUCAACAAUAUUAAUGCCUCCACUAUAAUAGCCCAUGGCUCCACCACAGCGGGUACAAGAAUAUCAACUAUAACAAUGAAUGUUAAAUUCUCAACAAGGAAGAUGUUUCAACAACAACAACAAUUUUGCCUCAACGUGAUAACGGCCUUCACAACUUCAACACCAAUAACUCAACAAUGAGAGAUAAUAUAUAACCAAGAAAUUAAAUAAUAAUAACUCACAAUGAAAAAGAUAACAUGUGACAAUGACUUCACUUAAUGGAAGUCAACAAGGAAAGAGAUAACAUGAAUAAUAACUUCAAGUAUGAUAAUCAAUAAUGAAAGAGAUAUCGCAGACAAUAACUUCAAAUAAUGAUAAUCAACAAUGAAAGAGGUAGCGUGUAGCAAUAAUAGAGGCAAAAGUUCAACUAAAGCAUGAGAGCAAUUUAUCACUUAGAAUGUAGAACGAGUGUUAACGAAAAUAUUUAAGGCAUGUAAGGAUAGAAUAACACAAGUAAGAAUAUAUUGACUAUGAGAAUUUAGAACAUGAUAUGACAAUUAAAUUAAAGCACAGAAAGAGUCUACGUAGCCUAAACCGGUCAAAUACUAUGUACAACCCGUAUACCCACUCGUCACCUUGCGUACACGGCUUUCACAUAACAUAAAUGAAUCAAUCAAUACCAAUCCUAAGGGGUAGUUCUGCCCCCCACCCCACCCCACCCACAAUGUUAGGCAAGACACUUACCUCAACUAGGCUAAUUCAACACUUGGAAAUAGCUUUUCCCUUAAAAUUCGCCUCCACACGGCUCAAAUCUAAUCCAAAUCGAUUUAAUAUCAUCAAACAAUGCUAGGAAAAUCAAUUACAAUAGAUAAAGCUAAGAUCUUUAUACUUUUCCUAAAGGAUCAACAAAAGUCAAUCCGGGGCCCUCCCGGUCGAAACUCGGGUCCAAUGGUAGAUUCCGUCUACCCAUGACCCCACGAGUUCAUAUAUGUGAUAAGUUUCAAAAUCCAAAUCUAAAUAGACUCUCAAAACUCAAUUUCUUAUUUUUCAAAAACAUGACAAAGUUUUAAAAAAAUUUCACUUUGAUUCACAUGAUUUUGAUGUAAAGAUCUGUUGAUGGAAUAUGAUUAGAAAUAGAUUAGAAUUACUUACCCAAGGUUUGUAGGUAAAAAUUCCCUCUCCAAAUCGCCUCCUACCUAGUCUAGGGAUCAAAAAUGAGAGAAUGAGUUCAAAAAUCCCAUCUCCCAAUCCUUUAACCAGCUGCAGAUGUCGCAUUUGAGAUGCGAACCCUCGCAAUUGCGGACCAGUGCUAGCAUUUACGAACCAUGACAACCUAAGUCAUCAACGCAUCUGCGAAGCUGGGUACUUUGCAAAAGCGAACAAAAUGUUCGCAAUUGCAAACAUGGUCCAAGUUCUGUUGUCUUUGCAAAUGCGAAGGGGAAGUCGCAUUUGCGACAGCUGACCCCCUACUAUCACCUUCGCAAUUGCAAAGCUGGUGCUCGCAAUUACGACAUCAGAGCACCAGCACACCAGCAAUUCAUUUUAAGUUGAAAACAAUUUCGAUACAUGUCUGGAACUCAUCUGAUCCCUCGGAGCUCCAAACCAAACAUCCACACAAGUCUGAAAAUAUCAUACAAACUCGAUCACGUGAUCAAAACACAAAAACAAUAUCUAAAACUACAAAUCGAACACUAAAACGAAUGAAUUUCAAAGAAAUUUUCAAGAACUUCUAGAAUUACAACUAAACGUCCCAAUCCUAUCAAAUCAACUUCAAAUGACACUAAAUUUUGCAGACAAGUUCUCAAUACCAUAACAGACCUAUUCCAGGUCCCAAAAUCAAAUUCUAAGCUCGAUAGCUAAAAGUCAACCCAUGGUCAAACUUUUCAACUUCAAAUUACCAUGUUUCGGGAAAUCUACACAAAUCCACCUACGGACUUCCGAAAUCAUUUUCGGGCAUACGCCCAAGUCCGAAAUCAUGACACGAAGCUAUCGGAGCCAUCAAAACACUGUUCUGGGAUCGUUUUCACAAAAGUCAAAGUUUGGUCAUCAUUUUCUAAUUUAAACCUCUAAGUCAAGAAUCAAGGGUCCAAAUCAACUUGAAAGGUCCCCAGAAUAAAACUAACUGAACUAAGAAGUCAUAAAAUCAUAAACACAUAUGUAUGAAGCAUCAAAAGGGGAAACGAGGCACAAUUAUACAAAAUGACCGAUUAGUUCGUUACAUUCUCCCCCUCUUAAAGCAAACGUUGGUCCUCGAACAUGCAUAAGGACAUACCCGAAGUGGUGAAUAGAUGAGGAUAGCGACUCCACAUGUCGUGCCCGGUUUCCCAGGUCGCCUCCUCGACCGGAUGACCCCUCUUUGAUACCUAUGCAUAAGCAAUACUCUUUGAUCUCAACUUCUAGACCUGUCAGUCCAAGAUAGCCACCGGCUCCUCAAUAUAGGUCAAAUCCUCGUCCAAUUGGACUGUACUGAAGUGUAGAACAUGAUACAGAUCACUGUAAUACUUCCGAAGCAUAGAUACAUAGAACACCGGAUGAACCACAGAUAAACUAGGUGGCAAUGCUAGCUUGUAGGACACCUCAUCGAUCUGCUCAAGGAUCUCAAAAGGUCCGAUAUACCUAGGGCUCAACUUGUCCUUCUUCCCGAAUCUCAUCACACCCUUCAUGGGUGAAGCCCGGAGCAAGACUCGCUCUCCAACAAUGAAUGCAACAUUGCGAACCUUCUGAUCCUCAUAACUCUUCUAUCUAGAUUGGGUUGUACGAAGCCAGUCCUGGAUCAUCUUGACCUUCUCCAAGGUAUCUCGAAUCAAAUCUAUACCUAAUUACUUAGACUCUCCCGACUCAAACCACCCAACAAGAGAACGACACCGUCUCCUAUAUAGGGCCUCGUAAGGAGCCAUCUGAAUACUCGAUUGGUAGCUGUUGUUGUAGGCAAACUCUAUAAGUGGCAAGAACUGAUCCCAAGCCCCCCUAGAAAUCCAUAGCACAGGUGCAAAGCAUAUCCUCCGAUAUCUAAAUAGUGCACUCGGACUGUCCGUCCGUCUGAGGGUGAAAUGAUGUACUCAACUCAACCCGUGUGCCUAUCUCAUGUUGUACAACUCUCUAUAAAUGUGAUGUGAACUACGUACCCUGAUCAGAGACGAUGGAUACCGAUAUUCCAUGAAGUCAGACAAUCUCACAGAUAUAAACCUGAGCGAGCUGCUCUGAAGAAUAGGUAGUCACUACCGGAAUGAAAUGAGCUGACUUGGUCAACUUGCCCACAAUCACCCAUACCGCGUCAAAUUUCUUCUGAGUUCGUGGGAGCCCAACAACUAAGUCCAUGGUCUCAUGCUCCCAUUUCCACUUGGGUAUCUCGAGUCGCUGAAGCAAACCACCCGACUUUUGAUGCUCAAACUUCACCAGCUGACAAUUUAGGCACUGAGCUACAUACUCCGCUAUGUCUUUCUUCAUCCUCCUCAACCAAUAGUGCUACCUCAAAUCCUAAUACUUCUUAGAGGAGCCCGGAUGAAUGGAGAACCGCGAACUGUGGGCCUCCUGAAGAAUCAACUAACGCAACCCAACAACAUUGGGCACACAUAACCGGCCUUACAUCCGUAACACAAUGUCAUCUCCAAUUGUCACCUCCUUGGCAUCGCCGUGCUGAACCGUGUCCUUAAGGACAAGAAAAUGGGGGUCGUCAUACUGACACUCUUUGAUAUGAUCAUAUAGAGAAUACCGAGAAACCAUGCAGGCAAGAACUCGACUUGGCUCUAAAACAUCCAAUCUAAUAAUGUGUUGGCUAAGUCCUGAACAUCCAAUGCUAAUGGCCUCUCUGCUACCGGUAGAUAUGCUAAACAACCCAAACUCUCCGCCUUUUGACUCAAGGCAUCGGCCACCACAUUAGCCUUUCCGGGAUGAUAUAGGAUGGUGGUAUCAUAGUCCUUAAGCAACUCUAACCACCUCUGCUACCGCAAGUUAAGAUCUUUCUGUUUGAAUAGUUGUUGUAGACUCUGGUGGUCGGUAAAGACCUCACAAGGGACAUCGUACAAAUAGUGCUGCCAAAUAUUCAACGAAUGAAUAAUGGCUGCCAAUUACAAGUCGUGGACCAGAUAAUUCUUCUCAUGGGUCUUAAGCUGUCUAGACGCAUAGGCAAUCACCAUACCGUAUUGCAUCAACACCAUUCCAAGGCCAACACGUGACGCAUCACAAUACAUAACAUAAGACCUUGAACCCGUAGACAACACCAACAUUAGGGCUACAGUCAAAGCAUUCUUAAGUUUUUGAAAGCUCACCUCACACUCCUCGGACCAUCUGAAAGGAGCACCCUUUUUGGGUCCAUCUGAUCAUAGGUGCAGCAAUAGAUGAGAAACCCUUUACAAAGCGAUGAUAAUACCCUACAAAACCAAGGAAACUCCUGUCACGCCCCAACCUUGGGAAGCGUGUCCGGCGUUCAACCGAGUGAACCCGGUCGAGCAAGCGAGUUAGAUACUUUCUACCUAACUCACCCAUGACCAAGAGAAGACAUGAUUUCAUUAAUUAGACAGUAGGGAGNNNNNNNNNNNNNNNNNNNNNNNNNNNNNNNNNGUUUGACUUUUCUAGCACCCAUGUACAACUGACAUAUUGUGUACGGAGCCUCUAAAAGAUACAAAAGAGUGUUAUGAUAGUGCCAGUGACAAGGCUCUAGCUAUACCUCAAAACGUGAUAAUAAUAUGAACAAAAGAUACAACACAUGACCUUGGGAUGAAAUGGGGCUCACCAAGUCUGUUGGAAAAAAGAUGUACCACUAUCGCUGAUCAACACUGCCUGCUAUAGAACCAACCUACAUCCAUUUAAAGAUGCAGCGCCCCCAGCAAAAGGGACGUUAGUACUGUCGAAUAGUACUAGUAUGUAAAACUAAACACUGUAUUCUUACACGGAGUCUGAUCACAACCGAUCGGCUAGGUCAUCUCAUUUAAGACAUCAACCAUAACCACAAUUUCAUUAUAAUUGCAAGCACAGUGACCACCAUGUGUACGACAUGGCGUCCGAUCACGACCCGAUCGGCUAGGCCGUCUCACCCAAGACAUUACCUUUUUCAGUCAAUCAUCUCACAUCAUACUUCUUUCAUAUCCUUUUAAUUCUUUGGAACUAGUGGCCAUAAUUAUAAGGUCAUUCUUGGCACUUGGCCGUAUUUCAUAAUUCCAGUUACCCUUAAAGACACAAACAUAUUAGGAAUAGCCGAUUCUAUAAUGAUUAAUUUGGGACUUACACUAAUUACAUGAAUACCAUGUGAUUCGAUUCUAAGAAGAAGGAGGUUUAGCCACCAUACCUCAAUCGAGCUUCCUUAAACUCUAAAAGGAUCUGGAAUUCUUAGCAACUUCAAUCUAUUUUAGAAAUAUAACAAAUUGAACCAAAUAUUAGGAGGAUGAUCAUGGUUCUAGAUCAUUUGAGCAUUUUAUCAAACACUAGGUGUGCAUUAAGGUUUCAAAGUCCUUUUAUGGAGGAUUCCAUCAUCCCACAACCCACUCUUUACCAUUUUUAGCUCACAACCUUCCCACAUUCUUUGAUAACACUUGCAUCCAAGAUAACAACCCCCACAUCCAAUAAUUGUCUUUCUAAUUACCCCCCUUUUAGUAGAUUUUCGAAAUUAAGAGCUAGGGCAUAGAUUCUUACCUUUAGGAUGAAGACUUAUUUGUUAAUCUUCAAAGAUUGAGCAAGAAUUGUUGGAUAUUAGGUUGAAGGUU